UGGCUGAAAAGCGCGUAGUCCAAAGCACUUCAGCCGCAUCGGCUGUCCAUCCCGCCACAAGCUCGCGCAGAUCACACGAAGCUCAAGGCUUGUCUGGCAUUCUCUCUAAUCGACAAAAGACAACCCAUGGCUCAGAUUAUUGGAACCUCGCCGGAGGACCUGCGGCGGGCUGCUGAUGCCCUAGUGCAAGGCAAGCUGGUCGCCAUCCCAACCGAAACUGUAUACGGAUUAGGCGGCAAUGCGCUGAUUGGAAGUGCUGUCAAGAGCAUUUACGCCGUGAAGGGGCGGCCACCUACCGACCCACUCAUUUGUCACGUGUACACCUUGGACGGUGCACGUAAGUUGUGGGAUCUGAAGUGGGAUGAGGGGGCGGUGGAGCUGGCGUGCACAAUCGGGGCGGCUCUGUGGCCAGGACCGUUGACGAUCGUCUGCAAAGCAAGCCCGACCCUUCCGGAUUGCGUUACAGGUGGUUCUGGCUACGUGGGGGCUCGCAUCCCCAACAAUCCAAUAACGCUGAAACUGCUAGAGAUGGCUGAUGUUCCUGUAGCUGCCCCAAGCGCGAACACCUUCGGGCAUGUAAGCCCUACGACCGCGCAGCACGUUUACGACGACUUGGCUGCUCGAGACCCGGAGCUACUGAUCAUUGACGGCGGACAAAGCGCGAUCGGCAUCGAGUCGACUGUAGCCAAGGUUGAAGCGAACGACUUGGUGGUGGUGCUGCGCAGGGGGUGCAUUACCGUGAGCAUGAUUCACCGCGCCAUUGCAGACAGGUACCCGCAGACGCGUGUCGAAAUUCGAGACACGCGCAUCAUGUGUGACCCAGCGAAGGCGCCGAUGGUAAGCCCUGGCCAGCUUCUCACUCACUACUCCCCACACGUGCCGUCGUCCCUCCUCACACCCGGUAGCUUGGCAGCGUUGACAGCAUCUGCGGAUGUGCCUGUCUACGUUCACCGCGGCAAAGACGUUGUGCCUCUUUGCGAGACCGUUGUCCUUGAUUUUAACGGAUACUUAUCGCGAUUCAGAGACACCUGCCUCUUCUACCACGACAUGAGCCCUGACGGCAAUCCUGAAGAGGGGUGCUACGCCGUCUUUGAUGCGUUGCGAGCGACCGAGACAAUUAAGGGGGCGAAGGGUCUUGUAUUUCCGCUCAUCUCAGAGUGGCCACACGACAAGGCAAAAGAAGAUUUACUGACCGCGAUGGAGGACCGACUAUUUCGCGCAGCAUCGGGCGUGACGGCCGUCCUGAUCAAUGAGGCCGCACCUGCUUCGGCGCGACACACCGACUAAAGGGCCGUUGAGUGUGAGCGGAGAGCAGCGACUCGCCGCAACCUCAGUUCGCGUACCAAAAGAAAAGGAGAUGGAAGCGGGUGCCGCAGCUCCUAAUUCGCUGACUACUCACUAACGGAAGGAACAUAUAGGUUUCACAUAACUGCCGAAUUCAGCGUUUAAUGGAUGCAAUAACCCUUUCCUUUUCUCUCAACUUGACCCCUCUCUUCUCGGGUGUCGCGCUGCUGCCUUCGCUAUGAUCGGCUACUAUUACAAUCCCCUCCCGUUCCCCCCAAAGAAAAAGGAAUAAACAACUCUUUUUGCUUCUCUUACUACCUCAAGUGCAAGGGAGAACUAAAUCU
RNAcentral lists this unclassified non-coding RNA (1628 nucleotides) under Leishmania donovani. Its description in RNAcentral is "gene:LdHU3.28.2990(CDS-product:Telomere_recombina tion/Putative_GTP-binding_controlling_metal-binding_putativ e)". The record is from RNAcentral. Lineage: Eukaryota; Euglenozoa; Kinetoplastea; Trypanosomatida; Trypanosomatidae.